CGCCUUGCCAGCCCGCUCAGAACUUAAAGGAAUUGACGGGGCCGCACAAGCGUGGAGCAUGUGGUUUAAUUCGAUGAUACGCGAGGAACCUUACCUGGGCUCAAAUGUAUGUUGACGUAUUCUGAAAGGGAUACUUCUUCGGACAAUAUACAAGGUGCUGCAUGGUUGUCGUCAGCUCGUGCCGUGAGGUGUCGGGUUAAGUCCCAUAACGAGCGCAACCCCUAUUGCUAGUUACCAUCAUUAAGUUGGGGACUCUAGCGAGACUGCCAGUGAUAAACUGGAGGAAGGUGGGGAUGACGUCAAAUCAUCAUGCCCCUUAUGACCUGGGCUACAAACGUGAUACAAUGGCUGGAACAAAGGGAUGCGAAGCAGUGAUGUGGAGCGAAACCCAUAAAAACAGUCUCAGUUCGGAUUGAAGUCUGCAACUCGACUUCAUGAAGUCGGAAUCGCUAGUAAUCGCGGAUCAGAACGCCGCGGUGAAUACGUUCUCGGGGUUU
This 497-nucleotide ribosomal RNA is filed under the name uncultured Acholeplasma sp. Its description in RNAcentral is "bacterial SSU rRNA". It matches the Rfam family "Bacterial small subunit ribosomal RNA", at positions 903 to 1382 of the family's 1533-position model. Lineage: Bacteria; Bacillati; Mycoplasmatota; Mollicutes; Acholeplasmatales; Acholeplasmataceae. The record is from RNAcentral.